GUAAUGAUGGCGAAGAGGUCACACCCGUUCCCAUUCCGAACACGGAAGUUAAGCUCUUCAGCGCCGAUGGUAGUUGGGGGUUUCCCCCUGUGAGAGUAGGACGUUGCCAG
RNAcentral lists this ribosomal RNA (110 nucleotides) under Bacillus massilioanorexius. Lineage: Bacteria; Bacillati; Bacillota; Bacilli; Caryophanales; Bacillaceae. The record is from RNAcentral.